RNAcentral lists this ribosomal RNA (700 nucleotides) under uncultured bacterium. RNAcentral's name for it is "bacterial SSU rRNA". It matches the Rfam family "Bacterial small subunit ribosomal RNA", at positions 8 to 725 of the family's 1533-position model. The record is from RNAcentral.
AGAGUUUGAUCAUGGCUCAGGACGAACGCUGGCGGCGUGCUUAACACAUGCAAGUCGAGCGGUAAGGCCCUUCGGGGUACACGAGCGGCGAACGGGUGAGUAACACGUGAGUAAUCUGCCCUUCACUUUGGGAUAACUACCGGAAACGGUGGCUAAUACCGAAUAUGACCCCCUUCUGCAUGGUUGGGGGUGGAAAGCUCCGGCGGUGGAGGAUGUGCUCGCGGCCUAUCAGCUUGUUGGUGAGGUAAUGGCUCACCAAGGCUCCGACGGGUAGCCGGCCUGAGAGGGUGACCGGCCACACUGGGACUGAGACACGGCCCAGACUCCUACGGGAGGCAGCAGUGGGGAAUAUUGGACAAUGGGCGAAAGCCUGAUCCAGCAACGCCGCGUGAGGGAUGAAUGCCUUCGGGUUGUAAACCUCUUUCGCCUGCGACGAAGCGAGAGUGACGGUAGCAGGUAAAGAAGCACCGGCCAACUACGUGCCAGCAGCCGCGGUAAUACGUAGGGUGCGAGCGUUGUCCGGAAUUAUUGGGCGUAAAGGGCUCGUAGGCGGUUUGUCACGUCGGGAGUGAAAACUCAGGGCUUAACUCUGAGCUGGCUUUCGAUACGGGCAGACUAGAGGUAUGCAGGGGAGAACGGAAUUCCUGGUGUAGCGGUGAAAUGCGCAGAUAUCACGAGGAACACCGGUGGCGAAAGCGGU